This 570-nucleotide ribosomal RNA is filed under the name uncultured archaeon. RNAcentral's name for it is "bacterial SSU rRNA". It matches the Rfam family "Archaeal small subunit ribosomal RNA", at positions 763 to 1327 of the family's 1478-position model. The record is from RNAcentral.
CUUGGUUGUUGCCGGUUUUUUCGGGGGCCCGGCAAUUCCCGGAGCGAAGGUGUUAAAGCGGGCCGCUUGGGGAGUACGGCCGCAAGGCUGAAACUUAAAGGAAUUGGCGGGGGAGCACUGCAACGGGAGGAGCGUGCGGUUUAAUUGGAUUCAACGCCGGAAAACUCACCGGGGGCGACCGGCAUAUGUGGGCCAGGCUGACGACCUUGCCCGAAUAAGAGCCGGAGAGGUGGUGCAUGGCCAUCGUCAGCUCGUACCGUAGGGCGUUCACUUAAGUGUGAUAACGAGCGAGACCCCCAUCCCCAGUUGCCACCUGUCCCUCCGGGGGCAGAGCACACUGGGGAGACCGCCGGCGCUAAGCCGGAGGAAGGUGGGGUCAACGGUAGGUCAGUACGCCCCGAAUCCCCCGGGCUACACGCGCGCUACAAAGGGCGGGACAAUGGGAUGCGACCCCGAAAGGGGGAGCUAAUCCCGAAACCCGUCCGUAGUUCAGAUCGAGGGCUGUAACUCGCCCUCGUGAAGCUGGAUUUCCGUAGUAAUCNNNGGGUCUACCUACCCGCGUGAANGCGC